UAUAAAAGUAAGAGUAUAAUAUCACUCACCAUGACGCCAGCAGAGUAUGCUUGAUCAACGAUGCCCUCAAAUCCUAAUUGCUCCAGCUAUUUCCGAUCGGCCGGAAGCGUGGCACAAUGGACGAUCUCGCGAACGACGUCGCUAGAUUCGAGGGCCGAAUCAUCCUCGAACAGAUUAUUCUCGGGAAGGAAUGGUGUCCUCCCGGGCUCA
Molecule: long non-coding RNA, 210 nt
Filed under: Phoenix dactylifera (date palm)
Lineage: Eukaryota; Viridiplantae; Streptophyta; Magnoliopsida; Arecales; Arecaceae
Description: long non-coding RNA (PDAC_LNC004167)
Source: RNAcentral